This 625-nucleotide ribosomal RNA is filed under the name Sordariomycetes sp. genotype 10. RNAcentral describes it as "eukaryotic LSU rRNA". It matches the Rfam family "Eukaryotic large subunit ribosomal RNA", at positions 1 to 597 of the family's 3401-position model. The record is from RNAcentral. Lineage: Eukaryota; Fungi; Ascomycota; Sordariomycetes.
CUGGCGGCUUGCCGUUAAACCCCUAUAUUUCUAGUGGUUGACCUCGGAUUAGGUAGGAAUACCCGCUGAACUUAAGCAUAUCAAUAAGCGGAGGAAAAGAAACCAACAGGGAUUGCCCUAGUAACGGCGAGUGAAGCGGCAACAGCUCAAAUUUGAAAUCUGGCCCUAGCGGUCCGAGUUGUAAUUUGUAGAGGAUGCUUUUGGUUAGGUGCCUUCUGAGUUCCCUGGAACGGGACGCCAGAGAGGGUGAGAGCCCCGUACGGUUGGACACCGAGCCUCUAUAUAGCUCCUUCGACGAGUCGAGUAGUUUGGGAAUGCUGCUCUAAAUGGGAGGUAAAUUUCUUCUAAAGCUAAAUACCGGCCAGAGACCGAUAGCGCACAAGUAGAGUGAUCGAAAGAUGAAAAGUACUUUGAAAAGAGGGUUAAAUAGCACGUGAAAUUGUUGAAAGGGAAGCGUUUGCGACCAGACUUUUUCCAGGCGGAUCAUCCGGUGUUCUCACCGGUGCACUUCGCCUGGUUUAGGCCAGCAUCGGUUCUCUUAGGGGGAUAAAGGCCUGGGGAACGUAGCUCCUUCGGGAGUGUUAUAGCCCCUAGCGUAAUACCCUUCGGGGGACCGAGGAACGCG